CAACCUGCCUUUCAGAGGGGGAGUAACAUUUGGAAACAAAUGCUAAUACCGCAUAAGAUUACAGUACCGCAUGAUACAGUGAUCAAAGGAGCAAUCCGCUGAAAGAUGGGCUCGCGUCCGAUUAGAUAGUUGGUGAGGUAACGGCUCACCAAGUCGACGAUCGGUAGCCGGACUGAGAGGUUGAACGGCCACAUUGGGACUGAGACACGGCCCAG
RNAcentral lists this ribosomal RNA (215 nucleotides) under uncultured bacterium. RNAcentral describes it as "partial 16S ribosomal RNA". It matches the Rfam family "Bacterial small subunit ribosomal RNA", at positions 122 to 334 of the family's 1533-position model. The record is from RNAcentral.